Oncorhynchus keta (chum salmon) is the source of this 232-nucleotide long non-coding RNA. RefSeq lists it as uncharacterized. Lineage: Eukaryota; Metazoa; Chordata; Actinopteri; Salmoniformes; Salmonidae. The record is from RefSeq and is a predicted model, not a curated record. The transcript has 3 exons.
AUAUAUAGAGGUGAUUAGUGUAUAUAUAGAGGUGAUUAGUGUAUAUAUAUAGAGGUGAUUAGUGUAUAUAUAUAGAGGUGAUUAGUGUAUAUAUAGAGGUGUAUAGUGUAUAUAGAGGUGAUUAGUGUAUAUAUAUAGAGGUGAUUAGUGUAUAUAUAGAGGUGAUUAGUGUAUAUAUAUAGAGGUGAUUAGUGUAUAUAUAUAUAGAGGUGAUUAGUGUAUAUAUAUAGAG